Molecule: ribosomal RNA, 466 nt
Filed under: uncultured bacterium
Lineage: Bacteria
Description: partial 16S ribosomal RNA
Rfam family: Bacterial small subunit ribosomal RNA
Source: RNAcentral
GACGAACGCUGGCGGCGCGCCUAACACAUGCAAGUCGAACGAGCGAGAGAGAGCUUGCUUUCUCGAGCGAGUGGCGAACGGGUGAGUAACGCGUGAGGAACCUGCCUCAAAGAGGGGGACAACAGUUGGAAACGACUGCUAAUACCGCAUAAGCCCACGGUGCCGCAUGGCACAGAGGGAAAAGGAGCAAUCCGCUUUGAGAUGGCCUCGCGUCCGAUUAGCUAGUUGGUGAGGUAAUGGCCCACCAAGGCGACGAUCGGUAGCCGGACUGAGAGGUUGAACGGCCACAUUGGGACUGAGACACGGCCCAGACUCCUACGGGAGGCAGCGGUAGGGAAUAUUGCACAAUGGAGGAAACCCUGAUGCAGCGACGCGGCGUGGAGGAAGAAGGUCUUCGGAUUGUAAACUCCUGUUGUUGGGGAAGAUAAUGACGGUACCCAACAAGGAAGUGACGGCUAACUACGUG